RNAcentral lists this ribosomal RNA (377 nucleotides) under uncultured archaeon. RNAcentral's name for it is "bacterial SSU rRNA". It matches the Rfam family "Archaeal small subunit ribosomal RNA", at positions 473 to 842 of the family's 1478-position model. The record is from RNAcentral.
AUACCUGCAGCUUCUAAGUGGUGAUUCAUUUUUAUUUAUUUGGGCCUAAAACGUCCGUAGCCGGUUUAGUAAAUGCCUGGGUAAAUCGUGUAGCUUAACUAUACGACUUCCGGGUAGACUGCUAAACUUGAGACCGGGAGAGGCUAGAGGUACUCCUGGGGUAGAGGUGAAAUUCUGUAAUCCUAGGGGGACCACCAGUGGCGAAGGCGUCUAGCUAGAACGGGUCUGACGGUGAGGGACGAAGCCCUGGGGCGCAAACCGGAUUAGAUACCCGGGUAGUCCAGGGUGUAAACGCUGCUUGCUUGAUGUUAGUUGGGCUCCGAGCCCAACUAGUGUCGGAGAGAAGUUGUUAAGCAAGCUGCCUGGGAAGUACGGUC